RNAcentral lists this ribosomal RNA (400 nucleotides) under uncultured bacterium. Its description in RNAcentral is "bacterial SSU rRNA". It matches the Rfam family "Bacterial small subunit ribosomal RNA", at positions 355 to 772 of the family's 1533-position model. The record is from RNAcentral.
UGGGGAAUUUUGGACAAUGGGGGCAACCCUGAUCCAGCCAUGCCGCGUGAGUGAUGAAGGCCUUAGGGUUGUAAAGCUCUUUUAGUGGGGAAGAUAAUGACGGUACCCACAGAAAAAGCCCCGGCUAACUUCGUGCCAGCAGCCGCGGUAAUACGAAGGGGGCUAGCGUUGUUCGGAUUUACUGGGCGUAAAGCGCACGUAGGCGGGUCGUUAAGUCAGGGGUGAAAUCCCGGAGCUCAACUCCGGAACUGCCUUUGAUACUGGCGACCUUGAGGCUGGAAGAGGUUAGUGGAAUUCCCAGUGUAGAGGUGAAAUUCGUAGAUAUUGGGAAGAACACCAGUGGCGAAGGCGGCUAACUGGUCCAGAUCUGACGCUGAGGUGCGAAAGCGUGGGGAGCAAA